This 316-nucleotide ribosomal RNA is filed under the name uncultured bacterium. RNAcentral's name for it is "bacterial SSU rRNA". It matches the Rfam family "Bacterial small subunit ribosomal RNA", at positions 28 to 334 of the family's 1533-position model. The record is from RNAcentral.
GACGAACGCUGGCGGCGUGCCUAAUACAUGCAAGUAGAACGCUGAGGACUGGUGCUUGCACUGGUCUAAGGAGUUGCGAACGGGUGAGUAACGCGUAGGUAACCUACCUCAUAGCGGGGGAUAACUAUUGGAAACGAUAGCUAAUACCGCAUGACAAUAGGGUACACAUGUACCCUAUUUAAAAGGGGCAAAUGCUUCACUAUGAGAUGGACCUGCGUUGUAUUAGCUAGUUGGUGGGGUAACGGCCUACCAAGGCGACGAUGCGUAGCCGACCUGAGAGGGUGAUCGGCCACAUUGGGACUGAGACACGGCCCAG